UGACAUUUCUUCCUUACUAAUUUCUAAAUUUAUGACAUCCGCGGUAAGACUGUUCAUAUCUGUUUCUACAUAUGCUACAAUAUAAAAAAAUAUUUAUUAAAAAUAAUUAAAUAAAUCAAACUUACUCUAAUCAUGCAUUUAAACAGAAGAAACAUAGCCAAAAAUAAAUAAAAGAAUGUAUUACCAGUUUCUCCAAAUAGCCAAUCCUUACAACAUAAAAUUGCCUCCACAACAU
This 235-nucleotide long non-coding RNA is filed under the name Theobroma cacao (cacao). RNAcentral describes it as "long non-coding RNA (TCAC_LNC004988)". The record is from RNAcentral. Lineage: Eukaryota; Viridiplantae; Streptophyta; Magnoliopsida; Malvales; Malvaceae.